AUUCAGAUGAAGAGUCCCAUAUGGGUCGAAACGCGUGUCCUGGAU
RNAcentral lists this non-coding RNA (45 nucleotides) under Schistosoma curassoni. Lineage: Eukaryota; Metazoa; Platyhelminthes; Trematoda; Strigeidida; Schistosomatidae. The record is from RNAcentral.